This 70-nucleotide transfer RNA is filed under the name Loxodonta africana (African savanna elephant). It matches the Rfam family "tRNA". From Rfam's summary of the family: Transfer RNA (tRNA) molecules are approximately 80 nucleotides in length. Their secondary structure includes four short double-helical elements and three loops (D, anti-codon, and T loops). Further hydrogen bonds mediate the characteristic L-shaped molecular structure. tRNAs have two regions of fundamental functional importance: the anti-codon, which is responsible for specific mRNA codon recognition, and the 3' end, to which the tRNAs corresponding amino acid is attached (by aminoacyl-tRNA synthetases). tRNAs cope with the degeneracy of the genetic code in two manners: having more than one tRNA (with a specific anti-codon) for a particular amino acid; and 'wobble' base-pairing, i.e. permitting non-standard base-pairing at the 3rd anti-codon position. Lineage: Eukaryota; Metazoa; Chordata; Mammalia; Proboscidea; Elephantidae. The record is from Rfam by way of RNAcentral.
GCAGUGGUUGUUCAGUGGUAGAAUCCUCCCUUUCAAUGAAGAAGACCUGGUUUGAUUCCUGGCCGAUGCA